This 497-nucleotide ribosomal RNA is filed under the name uncultured bacterium. RNAcentral's name for it is "partial 16S ribosomal RNA". It matches the Rfam family "Bacterial small subunit ribosomal RNA", at positions 28 to 507 of the family's 1533-position model. The record is from RNAcentral.
GAUGAACGCUGGCGGCGUGCCUAAUACAUGCAAGUCGAGCGAACAGACGAGGCGCUUGCUCCUUUGACGUUAGCGGCGGACGGGUGAGUAACACGUGGGUAACCUACCUAUAAGUCUGGUAUCACUUCGGGAAACCGGAGCUUAUACCGGAUAAUAUUUCGAACCGCAUGGUUCGAUAGUGAAAGUUGGCUCUGCUACCACUUAUCGAUGGAUCUGCGCCGUAUUAGCUAGUUGGUAAGGUAACGGCCUAUCAAGGCAACGAUACGUAGCCGACCUGAGAGGGUGGUCGGCCACAUGAGAACGUAGACGGGGUCCAUGCGCCUGAGGGAGGCAGCAGUAGGGUAUCUGCCGCAAUGGGCGAGAGCCUGACGGAGCAACGCCACGUGAGAGGUGAAGGUGUUCGGAUCGUAAAAAUCUGUUAUUAGGGAAGAACAAACGUGGAAGUAACUGUGCACGUAGUGACGGUACCUAAUCAGAAAGCCACGGCUAACUACGUG